GAGGCGAGCAUAGAGAGAGCUGCUUUUCAUAAAACGGGACUAAUGUAGUAAACUUACAGGAACAUAUACCACUACCAACGUUUGGAUCGAUAUCUGCAUCGAUCUGCACACCCUUGUCUCCUGGAUCCUAGCUGAGAUCAGCGUGAACCACGUGGGUCUCUGCUCCCUGAUCUGUUUCCUGUGUUUAGAAAGACUUCCAGCUUCAUGACGGAGUUUCUCUCGGUUUGUGGGCUCAUCUAAAGCUGAGUAACAGGAGGAGAAGAGUCUGGUGGAGCAGCAGAUGAACAAUUUCAGCCAUUUGGACUCAGCUCAGCCACUACAGAGGAAACAAUGACUUCAACACAAAAGGGUAAAGGUGGACCACAGGUUGCUUUGUUUCUGCUUAGCAACUACUGAGGUAAAUGGUGUUAAAGAUAAAUAUGCAAUAAGUGAACAGGAAAUGUGUGAGGGUGAGCCGGUGAAACAAAAUGUUGUAGAUAAUGGAAACUUGUCUAACGGGCAUUAACAGUAACCUUUGCAUGUUAUGUAUAUGCUUGAGGCCAAAAGAGGCG
Molecule: long non-coding RNA, 551 nt
Organism: Oreochromis aureus
Lineage: Eukaryota; Metazoa; Chordata; Actinopteri; Cichliformes; Cichlidae
Source: Ensembl